RNAcentral lists this non-coding RNA (270 nucleotides) under Phycisphaerae bacterium. Lineage: Bacteria; Pseudomonadati; Planctomycetota; Phycisphaerae. The record is from RNAcentral.
ACCCUCGAGGCUGUCACAGGUGGCCCGAGCGGGCCUAAGAGGGAAGGCCGUGAAAAUCGGCCGCGGACGCGCCGCUGUGACCGGCGACGACCGCCGCACGGGGCUGCCCGCGUCAAGCAGGGCGCGGGUCGGCCUCGGUCAAGCCACUGUUCCGACGCGGGGUCGGGAUGGGAAGGCGCGGCGGGAGGAUGAGGCCUCCAGACGCGGGGCACCGCAUGUGGAGCCUUGAGAGCCGGGAGCCAGAAGACCUGCCUGUGGCGAACAUACAGU